CCCUUAGAUGUUCUGGGCCGCACGCGCGCUACACUGAUGCAUUCAACGAGUCUAAAACCUGCUCUGAUAGGGGUGGGUAAUCUUUUGAAUGUGCAUCGUGAUUGGGAUAGAUGAUUGCAAUUUUUCAUCUUCAACGAGGAAUGCCUAGUAAACGCAAGUCAUCAGCUUGCAUUGAUUACGUCCCUGCCCUUUGUACACACCGCCCGUCGCUCCUACCGAUUGAAUGAUCCGAUGAAUAUCAUGGAUCGAGGAUGCAAGUAGGUUCGCCUAUCUUCAUCUUCGAGAAGUGAAGUAAAUCUUAUCAUUUAGAGGAAGGAGAAGUCGUAACA
This 329-nucleotide ribosomal RNA is filed under the name uncultured eukaryote. RNAcentral's name for it is "partial 18S ribosomal RNA". It matches the Rfam family "Eukaryotic small subunit ribosomal RNA", at positions 1470 to 1796 of the family's 1831-position model. The record is from RNAcentral.